Molecule: unclassified non-coding RNA, 329 nt
Filed under: soil metagenome
Description: partial contains 5.8S ribosomal RNA, internal transcribed spacer 2, and large subunit ribosomal RNA
Rfam family: 5.8S ribosomal RNA (bases 1-120)
Source: RNAcentral
GAUGAAGAACGCAGCGAAAUGCGAUAAGUAGUGUGAAUUGCAGAAUUCAGUGAAUCAUCGAAUCUUUGAACGCACAUUGCGCCCCUUGGUAUCCCGAGGGGCAUGCCUGUUCGAGCGUCAUUUCACCACUCAAGCCUGGCUUGGUGUUGGGCGACGUCCCCUUUGGGGACGCGCCUCGAAACGCUCGGCGGCGUGGCACCGGCUUUAAGCGCAGCAGAAUCUUUCGCUUUGGAAGUCGGGGCCCCGUCUGCCGGAAGACCUACUCGCAAGGUUGACCUCGGAUCAGGCAGGGAUACCCGCUGAACUUAAGCAUAUCAAUAAGCGGAGGA